AUUGAACGCUGGCGGCAGGCCUAACACAUGCAAGUCUAACGGUAACAGGAAGAAGCUUGCUUCUUUGCUGACGAGUGGCGGACGGGUGAGUAAUGUCUGGGAAACUGCCUGAUGGAGGGGGAUAACUACUGGAAACGGUAGCUAAUACCGCAUAACGUCGCAAGACCAAAGAGGGGGACCUUCGGGCCUCUUGCCAUCGGAUGUGCCCAGAUGGGAUUAGCUAGUAGGUGGGGUAACGGCUCACCUAGGCGACGAUCCCUAGCUGGUCUGAGAGGAUGACCAGCCACACUGGAACUGAGACACGGUCCAGACUCCUACGGGAGGCAGCAGUGGGGAAUAUUGCACAAUGGGCGCAAGCCUGAUGCAGCCAUGCCGCGUGUAUGAAGAAGGCCUUCGGGUUGUAAAGUACUUUCAGCGGGGAGGAAGGGAGUAAAGUUAAUACCCUUGCUCAUUGACGUUACCCGCAGAAGAAGCACCGGCUAACUCCGUG
RNAcentral lists this ribosomal RNA (490 nucleotides) under uncultured bacterium. RNAcentral describes it as "partial 16S ribosomal RNA". It matches the Rfam family "Bacterial small subunit ribosomal RNA", at positions 30 to 507 of the family's 1533-position model. The record is from RNAcentral.